Molecule: ribosomal RNA, 2924 nt
Filed under: Klebsiella pneumoniae
Lineage: Bacteria; Pseudomonadati; Pseudomonadota; Gammaproteobacteria; Enterobacterales; Enterobacteriaceae
Description: bacterial LSU rRNA
Rfam family: Bacterial large subunit ribosomal RNA
Source: RNAcentral
GGGUUGUGAGGUUAAGCGACUAAGCGUACACGGUGGAUGCCCUGGCAGUCAGAGGCGAUGAAGGACGUGCUAAUCUGCGAAAAGCGUCGGUAAGGUGAUAUGAACCGUUACAGCCGGCGAUGUCCGAAUGGGGAAACCCAGUGUGAUUCGUCACACUAUCGUUAACUGAAUACAUAGGUUAACGAGGCGAACCGGGGGGAACUGAAACAUCUAAGUACCCCGAGGAAAAGAAAUCAACCGAGAUUCCCCCAGUAGCGGCGAGCGAACGGGGAGCAGCCCAGAGUCUGAAUCAGCUUGUGUGUUAGUGGAACGGUCUGGAAAGUCCGACGGUACAGGGUGAUAGUCCCGUACACCAAAAUGCACAGGCUGUGAACUCGAAGAGUAGGGCGGGACACGUGGUAUCCUGUCUGAAUAUGGGGGGACCAUCCUCCAAGGCUAAAUACUCCUGACUGACCGAUAGUGAACCAGUACCGUGAGGGAAAGGCGAAAAGAACCCCGGCGAGGGGAGUGAAAAAGAACCUGAAACCGUGUACGUACAAGCAGUGGGAGCACCUUCGGGUGUGACUGCGUACCUUUUGUAUAAUGGGUCAGCGACUUAUAUUCUGUAGCAAGGUUAACCGUAUAGGGGAGCCGCAGGGAAACCGAGUCUUAACUGGGCGUUAAGUUGCAGGGUAUAGACCCGAAACCCGGUGAUCUAGCCAUGGGCAGGUUGAAGGUUGGGUAACACUAACUGGAGGACCGAACCGACUAAUGUUGAAAAAUUAGCGGAUGACUUGUGGCUGGGGGUGAAAGGCCAAUCAAACCGGGAGAUAGCUGGUUCUCCCCGAAAGCUAUUUAGGUAGCGCCUCGUGAAUUCAUCUUCGGGGGUAGAGCACUGUUUCGGCUAGGGGGUCAUCCCGACUUACCAACCCGAUGCAAACUACGAAUACCGAAGAAUGUUAUCACGGGAGACACACGGCGGGUGCUAACGUCCGUCGUGAAGAGGGGAAACAACCCAGACCGCCAGCUAAGGUCCCAAAGUCAUGGUUAAGUGGGAAACGAUGUGGGAAGGCACAGACAGCCAGGAUGUUGGCUUAGAAGCAGCCAUCAUUUAAAGAAAGCGUAAUAGCUCACUGGUCGAGUCGGCCUGCGCGGAAGAUGUAACGGGGCUAAACCAUGCACCGAAGCUGCGGCAGCGACACUAUGUGUUGUUGGGUAGGGGAGCGUUCUGUAAGCCUGCGAAGGUGACCUGUGAGGGUUGCUGGAGGUAUCAGAAGUGCGAAUGCUGACAUAAGUAACGAUAAAGCGGGUGAAAAGCCCGCUCGCCGGAAGACCAAGGGUUCCUGUCCAACGUUAAUCGGGGCAGGGUGAGUCGACCCCUAAGGCGAGGCCGAAAGGCGUAGUCGAUGGGAAACAGGUUAAUAUUCCUGUACUUGGUGUUACUGCGAAGGGGGGACGGAGAAGGCUAUGUUAGCCGGGCGACGGUUGUCCCGGUUUAAGCAUGUAGGCUGGUUGUCCAGGCAAAUCCGGAUAAUCAAGGCUGAGGUGUGAUGACGAGGCACUACGGUGCUGAAGUAACAAAUGCCCUGCUUCCAGGAAAAGCCUCUAAGCAUCAGGUAACAUCAAAUCGUACCCCAAACCGACACAGGUGGUCAGGUAGAGAAUACCAAGGCGCUUGAGAGAACUCGGGUGAAGGAACUAGGCAAAAUGGUGCCGUAACUUCGGGAGAAGGCACGCUGGUGUGUAGGUGAAGUCCCUGCGGAUGGAGCUGAGACCAGUCGAAGAUACCAGCUGGCUGCAACUGUUUAUUAAAAACACAGCACUGUGCAAACACGAAAGUGGACGUAUACGGUGUGACGCCUGCCCGGUGCCGGAAGGUUAAUUGAUGGGGUUAUCCGUAAGGAGAAGCUCUUGAUCGAAGCCCCGGUAAACGGCGGCCGUAACUAUAACGGUCCUAAGGUAGCGAAAUUCCUUGUCGGGUAAGUUCCGACCUGCACGAAUGGCGUAAUGAUGGCCAGGCUGUCUCCACCCGAGACUCAGUGAAAUUGAACUCGCUGUGAAGAUGCAGUGUACCCGCGGCAAGACGGAAAGACCCCGUGAACCUUUACUAUAGCUUGACACUGAACAUUGAGCCUUGAUGUGUAGGAUAGGUGGGAGGCUUUGAAGCGUGGACGCCAGUCUGCGUGGAGCCAACCUUGAAAUACCACCCUUUAAUGUUUGAUGUUCUAACGUUGGCCCUUACCGGGGUUGCGGACAGUGUCUGGUGGGUAGUUUGACUGGGGCGGUCUCCUCCCAAAGCGUAACGGAGGAGCACGAAGGUUAGCUAAUCCUGGUCGGACAUCAGGAGGUUAGUGCAAUGGCAUAAGCUAGCUUGACUGCGAGCGUGACGGCGCGAGCAGGUGCGAAAGCAGGUCAUAGUGAUCCGGUGGUUCUGAAUGGAAGGGCCAUCGCUCAACGGAUAAAAGGUACUCCGGGGAUAACAGGCUGAUACCGCCCAAGAGUUCAUAUCGACGGCGGUGUUUGGCACCUCGAUGUCGGCUCAUCACAUCCUGGGGCUGAAGUAGGUCCCAAGGGUAUGGCUGUUCGCCAUUUAAAGUGGUACGCGAGCUGGGUUUAGAACGUCGUGAGACAGUUCGGUCCCUAUCUGCCGUGGGCGCUGGAGAAUUGAGGGGGGCUGCUCCUAGUACGAGAGGACCGGAGUGGACGCAUCACUGGUGUUCGGGUUGUCAUGCCAAUGGCACUGCCCGGUAGCUAAAUGCGGAAGAGAUAAGUGCUGAAAGCAUCUAAGCACGAAACUUGCCCCGAGAUGAGUUCUCCCUGAGACUUUAAGUCUCCUGAAGGAACGUUAAAGACGAUGACGUUGAUAGGCCGGGUGUGUAAGCGCAGCGAUGCGUUGAGCUAACCGGUACUAAUGAACCGUGAGGCUUAACCUUACAACGCCGAAG